GACGAACGCUGGCGGCGUGCUUAACACAUGCAAGUCGAACGGUAAGGCUCCAGCUUGCCGGGGUACACGAGUGGCGAACGGGUGAGUAACACGUGGGUGACCUGCCCUGCACUUCGGGAUAAGCCUGGGAAACUGGGUCUAAUACCGGAUAGGACCAUGGUGUGGAUACUGUGGUGGAAAGUUUUUUCGGUGUGGGAUGGGCCCGCGGCCUAUCAGCUUGUUGGUGGGGUAAUGGCCUACCAAGGCGGCGACGGGUAGCCGGCCUGAGAGGGUGGACGGCCACAUUGGGACUGAGACACGGCCCAGACUCCUACGGGAGGCAGCAGUGGGGAAUAUUGCACAAUGGGCGGAAGCCUGAUGCAGCGACGCCGCGUGGGGGAUGACGGCCUUCGGGUUGUAAACUCCUUUCACCAUCGACGAAGGGUUUCUGACGGUAGAUGGAGAAGAAGCACCGGCUAACUACGUG
RNAcentral lists this ribosomal RNA (466 nucleotides) under uncultured bacterium. Its description in RNAcentral is "partial 16S ribosomal RNA". It matches the Rfam family "Bacterial small subunit ribosomal RNA", at positions 28 to 507 of the family's 1533-position model. The record is from RNAcentral.